GUUCCACGAUAGCGCCGUGGCGCGAGCGGGCUGGGCAUGGAAAGAAAAGAAAACGCCCCGCGCAGAAAAGAAAAGAAAGGCACCUUUUCCAUUAGGUCACGCACACACGUCUCCCACCCGUGCUUCCCCAACCCUCGUUCCCAAUUCCCAACAGCUGGGCGCAGGUGGCGGCCGGUGGUGGAGGUCGGAGGAGAAGGAGUUGGGUCCUGCUCGUAGGCGGAUGAGGGGGCAGGCGGCAGCGGUGGAGGUCGGAGCAGAAGGGAUCUGGGAGGCGCUGGUGAACCGAGGUAGGGAAAGUCGGCGGUGGAGAUCAGAAGAGAUGGGGGAAGGCCGUGGUGGAGAUGUGUGGUGAGCGGCGACCGCCGACGGAUAUGGGCGCAAGCAGUGGUGGAGAGAUGCAAGGAGGGCGGCGCUGGAUCGGGGAGGCUGUGGAGUAGGGAGGCAGCAAUGGUGAGGAGUUGGGAUGAGAGCGGCGGGGGUGGAGGCGCGUGGAGAAGACGCGAAAAAAUUGGAAAUUGUUUUACGGCUCCACCCCUUUCUUCGCUUGCCGGCGUUGUCAUAGCGAGCAGAAGGCAUGACAAGAAGAUUUGGUCCGCCCCUUCACCUGCCAUCGAUCUGCAAUGAUUUCUAAGUAAUUCAAGGUAUAUGUUUUAGUGUCUACCAAUCCUUGCUCUAGCACUUUCAGCUGGUGCAGCACCCCAGUGGAGCACCUGGAGUAUCAGAGCAGUAAAUGAUUCUUUUGGUACUAAAUUGGGCGAGAUUGUAAGUACUUUAUAGUUUAUAACAUCCGGGUUGGAGUCCUAAUCACAUUUUCUAGGAGAGAGGUACACCAAUGAAUAGUAGGUGGCAUUACAAAACAUUGUUACCUACAAAACAUUAUAGUUUAUAAUAUCCAACCGUCUAUACAUAUAAAAUGCAGUGAAUUGGAGCUUGAAAUGCUUAGCAGGUAUGAAUUUUUUUUCUCUUCAUUUGCUUAGUGUUUUUUCCUUCCCGAUGUUUGUUUUGGGUUCAGAAAUGAAGGAUGCCAUGCUUUUUUUUAAUCUUAAGCUAACGGCAUGAGCAUAAUGAUCGAGAAUGCAUGAAAUUCAUUUAUUUGAGUGGCCUGGAGAGAGAACGGCAACAUAUAUAAUGCUUUUUCGCCUCCUACCCAGUCUGCUGCGACGACCUAAAGGAUUGAGGUGAGGAGAAAAAUCUUGGUGAGCUGUGAGAGUAGGGUGUUGAGACUGGCAACCUUGCCUUUUCCACACCAUCCCCAGGAUGCACGCCCACAACGCAGCUUGGAUUAUUAAGGAUAGAUAUUGCUGCCUCGUGAUGGUUAAUUACAAGAACAAUGUAUGUUGGAGGCUCACAAGGAAAGAGGCUGGAGCGACGAUGCAGGCGCGGCUGUCCAAGGAACAUAUUUGCUUGCUAGCAUUCGUAAAUUUUGAUGGGUAUAUUAGGUUUACUGGAGUACUAUUUUACAUUUUGUGCUCAUUCUGAUCCAACCAAACUGACCUGAGGGAUUUGAGGUUGUCAUUCGUGUCAGG
Lolium rigidum is the source of this 1526-nucleotide long non-coding RNA. RefSeq lists it as uncharacterized. The record is from RefSeq and is a predicted model, not a curated record. The transcript has 5 exons. Lineage: Eukaryota; Viridiplantae; Streptophyta; Magnoliopsida; Poales; Poaceae.